This 301-nucleotide ribosomal RNA is filed under the name uncultured bacterium. RNAcentral describes it as "partial 16S ribosomal RNA". It matches the Rfam family "Bacterial small subunit ribosomal RNA", at positions 509 to 807 of the family's 1533-position model. The record is from RNAcentral.
CAGCAGCCGCGGUAAUACGAAGGGGGCUAGCGUUGUUCGGAUUUACUGGGCGUAAAGCGCACGUAGGCGGAUCCUUAAGUCAGAGGUGAAAUCCCAAGGCUCAACCUUGGAACUGCCUUUGAUACUGGGGAUCUCGAGUUCGGGAGAGGUGAGUGGAACUGCGAGUGUAGAGGUGAAAUUCGUAGAUAUUCGCAAGAACACCAGUGGCGAAGGCGGCUCACUGGCCCGAUACUGACGCUGAGGUGCGAAAGCGUGGGGAGCAAACAGGAUUAGAUACCCCCGUAGUCCCUGUCUCUUAUAC